Molecule: long non-coding RNA, 1034 nt
Organism: Sorghum bicolor (sorghum)
Lineage: Eukaryota; Viridiplantae; Streptophyta; Magnoliopsida; Poales; Poaceae
Exons: 4
Source: RefSeq, a predicted model, not a curated record
CCCGCGGUAAUCCCCCGGCCCCGCUCCUUUGCCUCCGACGGUUUCCCCUUGUCCACACGCACCUUUAUCUCGUUCUCUCUCCCGUCGCCUGCGCUCAUCCUCCGCAGAAAAAAAAAAUCGAGAAAACAACCACCCAUGUCUGCGAUCUGCCUACUCCGCCCAUGACCAUGGCCGCCCCCGACGCAAUAGCUCAGCCCCACCCUUGCACACGGAUUCGGCCACGCCCAACCUGCCCUGCUCUAGCUGCCCGUUUAAUUUCACUGCCAAGAAACUACCGCCAUGGAGGUGCGCCCCUUCAUCAGAUCCAAUGAGGAGGUGCCUCGGCCAAAGAGAAAGCAGCCAGGCACUCGCCCUCCAUAAAUCCGGCGAGGAGGCGCAGUGCCCACAAUAGUGGUCGUGAUGGUGGCUAGGAGAGCUUGGCAACCAUCUACCUGGUGACACUGGAGGUGGAGAUCAGACGUUCGCCUAGCUGUGGACUUCGACAAGGUGCGUGUUUGUGAAGCUGCUGCCGCUGAUUCAGUACUGGGCUCAGAUGCGUCAAGAUUGGCGCGAAUGAUCAUACAUUGGCAGUUGAGGCAUGGAAGGGGCUCUAUCAGAGCAUCAGGUCAACAUAGAACACCAAUGGUAGAUGUGAUAUGUCAAGCCACAAAGAAGGAAAAAAGAGUGUUCAGAUACUGCUUAAUGCGAAAAUAGAGAUCACCGAGCUAGAAGGAAUGUCGAGGUUCGUGCCCAUGCCCAUCGUCCUCGCCUGAUGCUCGCACUACACCGCUGACUGUACCAAAUGCACACUGGGUGCCCGCGCUCAAGGCCCAACGUGACAUGCUCGACGCCGCCAUCAAGGAGAUCGUUCAUCUAGGCAUCCGAAAGUUUUCUGUGAUUUUCUAGCCAAUUAUGAGAUUGAGAUGCAACAGUAUCAAGUUGACUUUAUAGUUCUACCUUUUUAUGUGGUGCAAACCUGAAAUAACUUGGAAUAUUUGUAUCUCUAAAUAAAUUUAUUAAAAAACUAGAUUCAAGGAUCUCUCUGAUGAUACUAA